This 1591-nucleotide small RNA is filed under the name Histoplasma capsulatum. RNAcentral describes it as "hypothetical RNA". RNAcentral also lists the same sequence under 1 other name. The record is from RNAcentral. Lineage: Eukaryota; Fungi; Ascomycota; Eurotiomycetes; Onygenales; Ajellomycetaceae.
CCCCCCCCUCCUUACUACAGCGUAAUCAUACUAUUCAUCGCUAGCCUGCUGUUGUUUUGUCUGCCGGCAUUGGCUCCUUUUCGGCGUUUGGGUGCUUCAAGCCUUUUACCACUUUGCUUUUUCGGAUCAGCUGGCUCACUGGUUCUAAAUAUAGAAGCGCAUCUUGGUGCCUUUUUUUUUUUUGCGCUAUCGCCGUGAAAGUGGGAGAAACGCUCUGAGGGGGCCACCACCACCACCACCACCACCACCACUUACCAGCAGCAACCAGCAACCACGGAACCAAAAAAGAGCAGGUUGCACACAAACCACAAACCGUCCGCAGCCGCAGCACGCAGCACGGAGCACGACAACGGCCCACGGACUUCCCAAGCAGGUAUUAUUGUCGUUAUCAUCAAUCUUCUCGAAACGGGGCGCCCAGAUUGAACGACGGUGGAAGGAUACCGAAGACUUGAUUUAACCACAUGGGAAAAGCAGGAAAAGGUCUCGAUUCAAAUUCAAACUUUUUUACUUUUUUCUUUUCUUUUCUUUUCUUUUUUUUUUCUCUUUUGCUUCCCCCCCACCAAAAGUCAAGAAAAAUAAUCCAUCCAAUCAAGGAAAAUAUAGUAACUAUCCAAGUUCUGUACUACUUCUUGUAGCUGUCAUCGAACAUGCCGAGAAUCACAGGUCUACUGCGUAACAACAACAGUAGUUCCUGACAUUAACGUGGGAGUAACGAAGAGACUCCGCUGGAGACUUUUUUGCUUUCCUGCCCCCCCCGUGUGUGGCCUGGAAUCCCCCCUUCAUCCAAGAACCAAAACGAAACUACUGACUCCUGAAGGAAUUCCACCGACGGCCUUCUUCUCUCCCUCCCAAUCUUUCCACCAUAAAGCUCGCUGGCUUUGUAGGUUAAGUUUGUGCGGUAACUAGUUGAGAACGGUCUUUUGUCUCCUAGUUAACUACUGUGUAAACUAGCUUGCAAGGUUCGGCGAUAGCUCGGUAAAUAAAUUCGAUAGUUUUGCUGGGCAGCUUCGGCGAAGCUUGAGGUGGGUUGAGGUGGGGUGUGGGGGGAGCAAGAGAGAGAAAAUGAGAGAGAGAGAGAGAGAGAGAGCUCCCCGGCUUCUUCCCGCCGAGUCCUUCCAGAUCUAUAUUCAGGAGAUCGAGAAGGGUUUUUUUUACCCAGAGUACCACAGGUAGUUCACGAAUGGUAAACGGCCGUGAAUUUUUCGCGAAAGAUGCCGCGGGAGAGGGAGGCAAAUUGAGAAUUUUAUUUUAUGUUAUUUUAUUUUAUUUUAUUCACUUCUGUACAGGCACAUUGCAAAGUUAACUCCUCUGUAUUACUAUUGCAAUCAGUCUUACUGACUGACUUGACCCCAGCUCUCGUGGAAUUCCGGAAUAUCCAAAUCCGCCAUAGCAACAGUUAAUGAAGUCGACAUGUUGAAAUUUCUAUGAUUGAUUCAACUCAGCCAGCCUUAUUCAUUAGAGUUUCGAUAGCGUUUCUGACAUUGUAGUUGUGUGCUAGUAGUAACUAUACUCCAUAUAACAAACAUAAAGUUGUUACGCAAACCUCCUGAAAAAGGCACUGGCAAGCAACGCGAUAAAAAAAAAAAAAAGG